Molecule: ribosomal RNA, 207 nt
Filed under: uncultured bacterium
Lineage: Bacteria
Description: partial 16S ribosomal RNA
Rfam family: Bacterial small subunit ribosomal RNA
Source: RNAcentral
UCCGCAGGCGGAUUGGCAAGUAUCGUGUGAAAUACCAUGGCUCAACCAUGAAAUUGCUCGGUAAACUGCCAAUCUUGAACACGGUAGGGGCCAUCGGAACUCUAGGUGGAGCGGUGAAAUGCGUAGAUAUCUAGAGGAACGCCAGAGGCGAAGGCGGAUGGCUGGGCCGUUGUUGACGCUCAGGGACGAAAGCAUGGGUAGCGAACG